RNAcentral lists this ribosomal RNA (462 nucleotides) under uncultured bacterium. RNAcentral's name for it is "bacterial SSU rRNA". It matches the Rfam family "Bacterial small subunit ribosomal RNA", at positions 28 to 524 of the family's 1533-position model. The record is from RNAcentral.
GAUGAACGCUGGCGGCGUGCCUAACACUUGCAAGUCGAACGCUCGCAAGAGAGUGGCGCACGGGUGAGUAACACGUAGCUAAUCUGCCCUCAAGACAAGGAUAACUGUAGGAAACUACUGCUAAUACUUGAUAAGCUUACGGACUGUAGAGGUCUAUAAGAAAGAUUUAUCGCUUGAGGAUGAGGCUGCGCGCCAUCAGCUAGUUGGUAAGGUAAUGGCUUACCAAGGCGACGACGGCUAGGGGACCUGAGAGGGUGACCCCCCACACUGGGACUGAGACACGGCCCAGACUCCUACGGGAGGCAGCAGUGAGGAAUAUUGCUCAAUGGGCGCAAGCCUGAAGCAGCGACGCCGCGUGGAUGAAGAAGGUUUUCGGACUGUAAAAUCCUUUUCUGUGUGACGAGAGUGGACGGUAGCACAGGAAUAAGUCUCGGCUAACUACGUGCCAGCAGCCGCGGUAAU